UUGGACUUAAACCCCAAAGAUAAAGCCAAUUAGUCUUUUUUUAGAA
Molecule: transfer RNA, 46 nt
Filed under: Philus pallescens
Lineage: Eukaryota; Metazoa; Arthropoda; Insecta; Coleoptera; Vesperidae
Description: partial tRNA-Leu
Source: RNAcentral